AUACUCGUGUUAUUACAGCCCUAUCUUCCUGCCCUUAUGCCCCAAAAAUGCACUUUUUUCUCUGUCAUAAAAAUUGUCAACAACUACGAAAAGAUAAAACUGAU
Long non-coding RNA from Limulus polyphemus (Atlantic horseshoe crab), 104 nucleotides. RefSeq lists it as uncharacterized. The transcript has 3 exons. The record is from RefSeq and is a predicted model, not a curated record. Lineage: Eukaryota; Metazoa; Arthropoda; Merostomata; Xiphosura; Limulidae.